This is a long non-coding RNA of Herpailurus yagouaroundi (jaguarundi), 653 nucleotides long. RefSeq lists it as uncharacterized. NCBI's taxonomy places the organism in Eukaryota, Metazoa, Chordata, Mammalia, Carnivora, Felidae. The transcript has 2 exons. The record is from RefSeq and is a predicted model, not a curated record.
UUUCUGAGACUCUGAUAUCUAGGGCCUCGUUGACCCUGGAGACCGCUGCUCCCAGAGCCGGCCAGUUCCUAGAGAGAGGAACUGAUUCACUGUGAGCAUGCCUUGCACGCACAAAGCCGCGGACCCAGAGCCCACGCCCCCGCCACCUUCUCCAGCGGCACCCACACUCAGGACCACUGUCUCCUGCCCUCCUCACCCCAGGGCCAGGUACCAGAAAACUAGGUUUUCUGCACCCCAGAGCCCAAUGAAAUUAGCCAAACUGCGGACCCUGCCUUGCCCGUUCUUCCCCGUGAAAACUACGAUAAAGGCUGCUGCCUGUGCUUCUCCCCGCCCUCCGCCUCCUGAUGGACCCUGGUCUCGGCCGUGUGGCCUCCCAGCGUGUGGCACGGUGCACCCCCUCCUCUUGGGAUCGUGAAAACCUACAACGUUAUUGCCACGAGUCAGAGAGAUCGGAAGGUGUUAAAGCUGCCACUGGCAUUCGGCCGUGAUGCCUCACGCAGAGGGGACCAAAAGGUAACGAGACCAAGUUCCUCACACGACUUCAAUUUAAAUUAAACUUCCUUUAAUGAAAUAAAAAACAAACGGUGCAUUGCAUAAUAUCUGUGGUCACAGUAUAAAACAAUACAAUUAGUUCAUGUAACAUCGGGUAUGGA